GCGGAUGGCGGAGAACACCAGCCACAAGUCCUACCGGCCCCUCUGCGUCCUCACCUUCAAUUCUCCAGGUGUCUGAGCAAAGGCCCAAGAGAAGGAAGCCCACUUGGUCUCUUUGAUGAGGAGGUGGAGGGCACUGCUUCUGACACAGCAGAAGGCAGGUAUCAGUGAGGGAGGUGCCACAAGACCAUGAAUAACAGCUCACUGGAGGCAAAAGGCUGGCAGAGAAGAUACUGGCUGGUUACGGCCAUUUAAUUGUUGCAGUGACUCAGGAAGAUGAAGUUGGCUGAAGGACUGCAGAUGAUACCUGGUCUUCCUUGAAGGAGAUGGAUGUCACAGUUCACUGGAAAUGAGCUCAGAUCCAUGAGGGGGUAAGAGUGCUUCCUCCAGCUGCUGCUUGGGCUGUUUGGGUCUGGAAGGAGGAGCUGGGAGAGAUAAGUCAUUGAGAGAAACUCAGUUGUCCCACGGGAAAAGACAUAGGCACACAGUUGGAAUGUCGAGCUAUCUCACUAGUCCUCUGACAGUAAAAAUGGAAAGAAAAAAAAAAAAAA
This is a non-coding RNA of Meleagris gallopavo (turkey), 548 nucleotides long. Lineage: Eukaryota; Metazoa; Chordata; Aves; Galliformes; Phasianidae. The record is from RefSeq and is a predicted model, not a curated record.